This 111-nucleotide Y RNA is filed under the name Carlito syrichta (Philippine tarsier). RNAcentral's name for it is "Y RNA (ENSTSYG00000028894.1)". It matches the Rfam family "Y RNA". From Rfam's summary of the family: Y RNAs are components of the Ro ribonucleoprotein particle (Ro RNP), in association with Ro60 and La proteins. The Y RNAs and Ro60 and La proteins are well conserved, but the function of the Ro RNP is not known. The record is from Rfam by way of RNAcentral. Lineage: Eukaryota; Metazoa; Chordata; Mammalia; Primates; Tarsiidae.
GGCUCUUCUGUAGGUAGUGAGUUAUCUCAACUGGUGGUUCACAGUCAGUGACAAAUCAAACUCCUUGUUCUACUUUCCCUCCUUCUCACUACUGCACUUCACUAGUCUUAA